GGUCACAUUCCGAACCCGGAAGCUAAGACUCUCAGCGCCGAUGGUACUGCAGGGGGGACCCUGUGGGAGAGUAGGACACCGCCGGAC
RNAcentral lists this ribosomal RNA (87 nucleotides) under Rathayibacter festucae. RNAcentral also lists the same sequence under 1 other name. Lineage: Bacteria; Bacillati; Actinomycetota; Actinomycetes; Micrococcales; Microbacteriaceae. The record is from RNAcentral.